UCUUCGGAGAAAAAAAAAAACCAAGCCAAAUUUAACUGAAAACAAAAGUCUAACUGACACAAAACAGUGCCAGUUAGACUCAAAAUAGACAUAUCAUUUAGUCUGCCUCUCUGAGCUGCUCUUUAGAACCACAGUGAUGGCAGAACGUCAGAACUACAGACAUGGCUGAAUGUUUUGGGCAUUAUAGAACUGAUUUAACCCAACCACUGGUAUACAUGGGAUUAGUGUUGCCAUUUAAAAUGAAGCUUACUGAAAAUUUAA
This is a long non-coding RNA of Xiphophorus hellerii (green swordtail), 261 nucleotides long. RefSeq lists it as uncharacterized. The record is from RefSeq and is a predicted model, not a curated record. The transcript has 2 exons. NCBI's taxonomy places the organism in Eukaryota, Metazoa, Chordata, Actinopteri, Cyprinodontiformes, Poeciliidae.